CAGCUGACAUGGCAGCACCCGGAGGCUCUGCCUGGGCCGAUAUCCAAGUAUGUUGUGGAGGUGCAGGUGGCUGGGGGUGCAGGAGACCCACUGUGGAUAGACGUGGACAGGCCUGAGGAGACGAGCACCAUCAUCCGUGGCCUCAAUGCCAGCACGCGCUACCUCUUCCGCGUGCGGGCCAGCGUUCAGGGGCUCGGGGACUGGAGCAACACAGUAGAAGAGUCCACCCUGGGCAACGGGCUGCAGGCUGAGGGCCCAGUCCAAGAGAGCCGGGCAGCUGAAGAGGGCCUGGAUCAGCAGCUGAUCCUGGCGGUGGUGGGCUCCGUGUCUGCCACCUGCCUCACCAUCCUGGCCGCCCUUUUAACCCUGGUGUGCAUCCGCAGAAGCUGCCUGCAUCGGAGACGCACCUUCACCUACCAGUCAGGCUCGGCCUUCCUGGGCUUGGGAGCCAGCCUCUGUCUGCACACAUCUUUGGCUGAUAUCCUUAGCCCUGCUGUGGCCACCUGCCAGUAGGCCAGUCAUGCUGUCCUGUCUCCUCUGAGGGCUUCUUCAUUGUCAUCACUUAGGAUCUGAACUCUGUCCUUGGCCUUCCAGGCCUGGACUCUUGAUAUUUAGAGCUAAGCUUUGGCAUUUCAAAUAAAAAAUAAAAAAAGAAA
This 656-nucleotide small RNA is filed under the name Pongo abelii (Sumatran orangutan). Its description in RNAcentral is "processed transcript". Lineage: Eukaryota; Metazoa; Chordata; Mammalia; Primates; Hominidae. The record is from RNAcentral.